CUCAGCUCUGGCCCUACUGUCUCUCCCUGCCCUGCCUUUCUCUAAGCCAGUGCGGGUCCCCUCCAUCAUUCUUCCCGGUCAGCCCUGCACCCAAGGCUCUUGCGCGUGGUAAACAUUCCAUCAAAUUCAGGAGCAGUGGAGGGUGCUUAUAGAAGCUGAAAAGGACUUCAAAUUCAAGGCUGCACACCGUGUCCCCAGGAAGUCCUCCCAGCAAUGCCACCCUCGGCCACCAAUCAGGCAAGGAGUCACUUUCCCGCAGGCUACAGCUCAAGACUUUCACAUCAGUCGGAAACUUCCGUCACAAGUGACUUACUCUGGAGGAAGCCACCUAUCAGGCCACAAGAACAUUCCGGCAGCCUUACGGAGAGGAGGAGCCGAGCCCCAUGAGGUGAGGAGCCGAGGCCUCCCACCAACAGCCAGCACCAGCUUGGCAGACAUGUCUUGGAAUCAGCGGCUCCAGCCCAGGCGAGCCUUCAGAUGGAGGCAGCCAUGGCCAACAUCCUGGCUGCAAUCUCAUGAACUCUCAAGCCAAGCCCCCCCUGCCAAGUCGUUUGUAAAUUCCUGACCCGCGGAAAGUGUAUGAGAGAAAUAUGUUUCUUAUUUUCAGCUGUUAAGAUUUGGAA
Tupaia belangeri chinensis (Chinese tree shrew) is the source of this 623-nucleotide long non-coding RNA. RefSeq lists it as uncharacterized. NCBI's taxonomy places the organism in Eukaryota, Metazoa, Chordata, Mammalia, Scandentia, Tupaiidae. The transcript has 3 exons. The record is from RefSeq and is a predicted model, not a curated record.